GACAAUGAUAUAUUAUUUGUGAGGGUUGGAUGGCCGAAUAGUUAGCGCGUGCGCGUUGAAUCAUAAGGUCUAUCAUUAAGUCAACUGGCGUGGUGUCGAUUCCCCGGUUGUACGUGACAAGGAGUAGGGUCGCCUGCCCAACCUCGUGGGUUUUCUCCGGGUCCUCCGGUUUCCUCCCACUGCUCAGGACCCCUAAUCACAAGCGAAUUAUUGAAAUAAAAUUGAACCAUAUGUUAGUCCUGAAAUGACCUAGUUUGUCUCUCGAUAUAUUAUUUAAUGGAAGAAUUUGAACUUUGAGAACAACUUGAAACCGCUUGCUGUUCUUCCUUUAUGAUUUGUAACAUCAUUAGCUGUCUGAUUUUAACUGAUUUAUUUUAUGUGAUAUGCUUUUGGAUCAAAUAUUUUAUUACAUUGUAUAGCUUUCUCUCUAUCAGGCACGUGUGUAUUUAAAACAAGGAAAAUAUAAACAAGCAGAAGGUUUAUAUAAAGAAGUUUUAACACGAGCAUAUGAGAACAAAUUUGGGAAAGUAGAAGGUGAUAAUAAACCUAUUUGGAUGAGAGCAGAGGAAAGAGAAGAAAAUAAGGGUAAAUAUAAAGAUGGAGCAACCCCUCCUGAUUAUAGUAAAUGGCAUAAAUCACAAGCAAAAUUAUACAGUCCUACUUUGAUACUAACCUUGAAAAGACUUGGAGAACUGUACAGAAUACAAGGAAAAUAUGAAGCUGCACAAACUCUUGAAGAAUGUGCCAUGAGGUCUAAAUGAAUAUGAGUAGGCUUGUAGAAUAAUUUUAUUUUACUCAGAAUCCCCUUUAUUUUUGGGGAUUGGCUUGCUGUCAUAACCCAGAGUUUGAUCCGAUAUAGCUUACAUUUGUCAGUUCAUUAAAGGGACUAUCCCGAUUUGAACAGAGUCUCAAACAUAAAAGGCUGGGUACGUAAGCAAUUUAAGCGCCAAAAUAUAGAGGAAUGGUGUAUUUAUAUUUUCUCAAAAUUUCAGCUCAAAAUAUUGAGUUGUUUGGACGUGAACGUCAAAAUUCCUUAUCCAGACACGUAACUCUUUUAAGAUUUUGGGUCAAUUUUUUCGUUGGAUGACCUGAUAAUCGACCCCCGUUCCUUUAGAGGUCUCUACAAUGAAUGACCCAUGUGCUGUACCUGAUAACGAAAGGUAAAUUUCACCUACACAUUGGAUGACCUGAUAAUCGACCCCCGUUCCUUUAGAGGUCUCUACAAUGAAUGACCCAUGUGCUGUACCUGAUAACGAAAGGUAAAUUUCACCUACACAUUAUUUUUAUAAAAUAAAAGUCUGGUUUUAUCCAGACACCGCAUAAUACAGCUUGGGUCACCGGUCUCCAUUUCCAGAUAAAGACUGACGGGUUUAAGUUGUUUGAAAACGUAUCAUACAUGUUGAGUUAGUUACUCGGCCCUAAUAUAGAGAAUUUUAAGGGAUUUUAACACAAAAUUAAGCAGUUUAAUUCUCCAAAAUAUUAUCGGGAUUGGCCCUUUAAGAUAAAGAAUAAAAUAUAAAUGAAAUUCUUAUUAUAAUUACAAUCACAGUCUUCACGAUGCUUUGUCAUUUUCUCGUUUCCAACCUAUUAUUGCCUAGAAAGUAGAAAUAGGCAUUUAAUAGAAUCCUGAAAGAUAUCAGGUAGGUUUGCUAAUUCUAACUAACAUCUUCAAGCAGCACAAUGUACUCAGCUAUACACGUGUGUAUUACACUAUGAUUGCAAUAUAGUUAUUGAAAUAUUUAUAUUAAUACAUAAAAUAAAUAUUUACUACAUGUUAACACAUAUACUUCUUCCUAUAUCCACAAAUACUUUUAAUCAGAAAUAUGUGUUUAUAAUAGGUAUUAUGAUGGCUAGGCCCUUUAGUUAAUACAAUAAAUCAACUUAAAGGCUCAUUUUUAGUUAACAUUUUAUUGCUAAAUGUAAGCAUUUAGUAAUUAAACACAUUGAUACAUACAGGUUACAAUAUUCGGGAUAAACAAUAACUGAAAAAAUUAUCAUUCCUGAUAAAAUUAUCAUUGUUGUGGAAUUAUUGACUUUAAACCUGUUUAAUUGCCAGCAGAAGGCUAUCAGUGGUAACCAACACAUUAUAUAAUUAUUUCUGAUAAGCUGAUAUCCAAUUGUCAUCUAUUACAAACUCAUAUUGUAGUGUUGUAUUUUAUAAAGGCAGUGGCUAUUGUUACGACGAGUCGUAAAAAUAGUCCUCAGGCUAUUGUUACGACGAUGCUUUCACAGCCCCCCAUCGGCGAAGUUAAAAACUGAAUAGUCGUAAAAAUAGUCCUAACCGUAACCGUAACCCUUCCUAUCUCUUAAUUGCAGGCCUUUAAAACCUUUAAUCUAAAUAUUCCAUAUAUUAACAAUCAAUAAUAUGGUAAAAUGACAUUUAAUCCCUUAACUUAUUAUUUUUCUGUCACUAUAUAUGAGUACCAGGCCCCGAGUUCACGAAGCAUUCUCAGACAAAAGUUAAGAAUUUACUCAAAUUUGGUCGCCUUAAUUAUUUGGACUAAAUAUAACCCUUUAUACAACUUUUGUUGUUUUAAUGUAUCAAAUACAUCAAUAAGAAACUAUGUGCAAAGUUAUGUGUUUCUGGAUCAAAGAUAAUUAUCAUAAACAGUGAUUGAAAGUUGAGUAAAUUCUUAACUUAAAGGGCUAAUCCCGAUAAUUUUUUGGAGAACAAAACUGUUUAAUUUUCUUUUAAAAUCCCUUAAAAUCCUCUACCUAAGGGCCGAGCAACUAACUCAAUAUUUGUGAUACGUUUUCAAAUAACUGAAACCCGUCAGCCUUCAUCUGGAAAUGGAGAACGGUGUCCCAAGCUGUAUUAUGGGGUGUCUAGAGAAAACCAGACAUUUUUUGUAUAAAAAUAAUGUGUAGGUGAAAUUUACUUUUCAUUAUCAAGUACAGCAUUUGGGCCAUUCACUGUAUAGACCUCUCAAUGAACGGGAAUCGAUUAUCAGGUCUCCCACCGAAAAAAUUGACCCAAAAUCUUAAAAGGGUUACGUGUCCGGAUAAGCAGUUUUGACGGUCACGUCCAAACGACUCAAUAUUUUGAGCUGAAAUUUUGAGAUACGGUCAAUACACCAUUCCUCUAUAUUUUGUCAUUUAAAUUGCAUACAUACUCAGACUUUUAUUUUUGAGACUCUGUUCAAUAAGGGAUAGUCCCUUUAAGUCUGAGAAUUUUUUGUGAACUAGGGGCCCGAUUUCAUUGCAGCUUCAUUAUAUAUACAUGUAGCUUCAUUUUGGUAGCAGGGAAUUCCCCCUUGUUCUGUAUUUACCAAAUGAAUACGGUAAAAGGGUAUAAAAGAAUGCCUGAUUAUUCUAUGUAAACUUGUUGAUGUUUCUUUUCCUUUGGAGCUUAAAAGACAAUAUAUGGUGGGGUCAAUCAUGUUAAUAUAGAAAGAAAAUCUGCCAUUUUCCUCGUCUGAUAAAGGUUGAUUGUUUAGUGAUGUGCGUCUGUUUUGUCUGCUGCUUUUUUGUUUUUAUUUUUUAUUGCAUUUUAUUCUUUCCUUCACCAAUUUCUGUACACAUAAUAGAAUUUAACUUUGUUAAAUAUAAAUAAACAUGAUAUAUACAAUGUUUUAAUAUCUUAAUACAAUAUGACAUUUUUUGUUCGGAUUAAAGGACAUGUUUUAAUGUUCAAUUGCAAAAAGUUGUAGCACAAUGUGAAUCUUUACCACAUGAUGCUAAUCGUAUACGUCCACAUUUUCCUAUGGACGUAUAUUGUCGUCGCCCCUGCGGAAAAUCAAGCGUUGAAUUUUUAUUACAUGGCUGCUAAUCUUUGUCAUAUUUAUUAUACGUCAACAUUUUCCUACGGACUUAUAUUGCCGUCGUCACUGUGGACACUCAAGCGGUGAAAAUUUUACCCGAUUUUCAUCACACUUGGAAAGUAUGUUUAUGACCCAACGAUGUCGGUUCCUUGCGAUAGAUAUACAUCCAUCAAAUUUGCUUUUUUGAGAUUCAAGUUUGAAUAUAGAAAAACGAGUAGCUCGUAUUUCGACAUGCGCAAAUAUCGAAAAACGAGCUAUUUGUUUUUCGUUAUUCGCCAAUAUCGCAAAAAAUAAGCAAAAACAAAGAUUGAGCUAACUUCACAUGUAACAGAGUGAUUUAUACCUGAAGUUGACGUUUAUAUUAUGUUCGUUAUUUAUUUUUAAUAAAUAACCUGGUGUGACAAUCUGAUCUAUAACUGAAGUUGACGUUUAAACUCUCGACAACUUCUGUGAAGACACGUUCUUAAUAAACAUCUAGUUUAUUCAAGAUGUUCUUUAACAAGCUACACAUGAUCCACGUGUAACACUAGACUGAACUUCAAAGAGAAUGUAUCAUAUAUACCUUGACCUGACAAUGACUUUUAAAGAAAUAUGUAGUUUAAUUACAAACACCAUAAUUGAUAAUAAACAAUACCAUAUAUGAUUAUCACCCCUGUCCACCUCAACUAAUUGUUAGAGGCUUUAUAACAGCAAGUAAGAUUUGGAAUAGAGCUCCUCUCGAUUUAUGUCUAUUUCAUGUUCUCAAUAAAGGUCUUAUAAUUAU
Molecule: long non-coding RNA, 4524 nt
Organism: Patella vulgata (common limpet)
Lineage: Eukaryota; Metazoa; Mollusca; Gastropoda; Patellidae
Exons: 4
Source: RefSeq, a predicted model, not a curated record